UUUUUUUCUUUCCCCUUCCCUCAGCGGGGGAAGAAGGCGGGGCGAAGAAGAUGGCCUCCAAUCAGAGCCAAAGAGCGGGACACCCUUGGCUCCGCCCCCCGUGUCCCUCAGGCGCCGACUAUAAGAGCCCCACCCGGGUUUGCUCCGUGUGGAGCGGGCAGAGUUUGGAGUCGGAGCAGGUGUCUGAACCUCCAAGUGCCCACUCCACCCUCGGCACCAGGAGGUGAGGAGAAGCACCAGAAGAGGAAGGAGGAGGAGGAGAAGCCUUAAGAGGUCCUGACCAGCCCUGCACCAACUGGACCAAACCGGCCACGGAGAGCCUGGCGGCAUAGGUGACAAGCCAGAUGAAACCUCCUGUAGGGAUGCGGUCCAGGCAGCUGCCCCGACGAGGAAGAGAGGACGAGGGAGGAGCGAUGGGAGAUCGAGCGGCCCCGUGGAGACCGGGACACCCUGAGAGAAGAUGGGAGUUGACCUGUCCGUCGAAAAAAAAAAAAUAAGUAUCUCCUCAUAGACUCACCCAAAGCAACCUGGAAACAUUAGCUGCUAGUAUCGAAUGAUUUGUACCUAGAUAAGUCUCUUGCACGUUUUUCUGUUCAAGAUGAAUCGGUCUUUGGACUUUUCCUCACAGAAUAUUUCCCUAAUCCAUUUUCAGGAGAAAGAACUCUGGUCAGGAUGUUGCUUUCACGCCUUAAAAUUCAGUCAGAGGAGAGGUAGGAGGUACAGGGAGCCUUUAGUUAUGAAGAAAUAAUAAGGAAAAUAAAAAGAGAGAUUCAAUACGUAGUACUGCCAGGAAAUUUAAAAGUAGGGGAAAAAAACGGAAGCUUAUUGUGGAUUUCCAAGGGAAAUUUACCUCACAGCUCCUUAAAAAGAAUGAAUAAAAUGUGUUGAGGCGAGGCUCCCUGAUUUAGGGCAGUUCACUCUCCGGACUAUUGGGAUUGGGUUAAUACUCCAGGUGAGGUUUGGAAUAGUGCAAGAAGAGAUAAGAGCAAAUGGUUACACAUUUCCUUCUAAAGCUGUGAUUCUGAAAACAGUGGUGUCGUCUGUGCUCAAACCCCAGUUGCUAUUUUUCCAGAGACUCAACCUGCCUACUUCUGGGAGCACCCCAUCCAGCAAUCAUCCGGGCAGCUGCCGGAAUUCAAAACCUCCAAUCGGCUCGGCUCCCCCCUAGAACACUGGAAGAACCAAGACUGCGGCGAGAGAAGGCUUUCACCACGGAUCGUGCGGCAAGAGAUGGGAAAAGGGAAAACCCUCUUAGGCUCCCCUAAAGUGAUUCUCCACCCUCCCAACCCCCCUACCACUCCCUCCCGGUGCUCUGUCCUAGGACUUUGUGGCUAGGAAGGAGGAGGGGGGAAGAAGAUAGUUUUCUUUAUGCACUCCCCCUCCUGCUGUUCUCUACCUACCUAAGGUCUUCACGGCCUGAAAAGGUACUGUGGGAUUUUAAAAAGGGAGCAUUUUGCUUUAUGCAAAAAACUCUCCUGCUUAUUUAUCCACCUGAGGACUUUGAGGCCUUCAGAGAAAAUCGAUGAGGAGGGAAAGGAGAAAUCUGCUCAAUAGGCCAUUACAUCUCCUGUUCAUUACUCCCCCUGAGGCCUUUAAGGCCUUCUACUGGAGAAUGACUGCAGAGUAUCUGAGGUGCCAGAGGAGAAAUCUGCUUCAUGCAAAGAAUCUCCAGCUUUCACUUUCCUCCUGUAGGUGGUCAAGGCCUUCCCAAAAGUAUAUUUGAGGGGAAAAGGGAGAAAUUUGCUUUGUGCAAGCAACCUCCAGGUUUAACUUCUCUAUCUAAUGCCUCCUAUGCUUUAAGAGAGAAGAUUUGCUGUGCCCAAGGAGAAAUUUGCUUCAAGCAAGUAAUCUCCCAUUUUAUUUCUCUACCUGAGGUCUUCAAGGCCACAAAAGAGAAUAUCUGAGGUGAAAAAGAGGGAAUUUGCUUUACUCAAAAAGUCUCCUGCUUUCUUUUUUCUGCCCAAUGUCUUCAAGGCAAAAAUGGAGAAUCUGGCUUCUGGCACACACACCUGCUGUUCAGGACUCCACCUCAGGCCUUCAUGGCCUUUUAAUUUGAGAAUGAAUGAGAGACUAUUUGAGGGGUUAAAGGAGAAAUGUGCUUCAUGCACAGAUCUCCAGCUUGUCUUUCUCGACCUCUGGUCUUCAAGGCCAGAAGAGAGAAUAGUGAAGGUCAAAAAGGAGAAAAUUGCUUCAUGUAAACCAUCUCCAGCUCUUCUCUUUCUACCUAAGGUCUUCACGGCCUCACAAGAGUGUAUUUGAAGUGAAAGAGGAGAAAGUUAGUUUCAUGGACCCGAUCGCCAGUUUAUGUUUCUCUAAGGUCUUCAAGGCCGCGAGAGAGACCCUUUCAAGGGCCAAAGGAGAAAUCUGCUUCAUGCAAACAAUUUCCUGCUCUCAGCUUUCUAAAAAUAUUUGAAAAGGAGACUUUUGCUUCAUGCAAAAAAUUGUCCCGCUUAUUUGUUCCACCUUUUGGUCUACAAGGCCUUCCAAGAUUACAUGUGAGGUGAAAAAUGAUCCAUGGGCUUCAUGCAAACAAUCUCCAGCUUUUGUUUCGCUAAGGCCGUAAAGGCCUUAGGAGAGAAUGAUUUAGGUGAAAAGGGAGAAAUUGGCUUCGUGGAGUAGAUACAGCUCCCGUUCAAGUACUCCUCCUCAGGCCUUCAACGCUUUGGAACGAAGAAUGAGUAGAGAAUGUUGGAGGUGCAAAAAGGCGGACUUUGCUUCAUGCAAACCAUCUCCAGCCGGUAUUUCUCCAUCUGAGGUCUUCCAGGCCUUGCAAGAAAACAGUGGAGGUGAAAACGGGGAAAUGUGCCUCGUGUACACAAAUGCUAGUGUUUAUUUCUUGAAGGUCUUCAAGGCCUCCAAGGAGACUACGUGAGGGGAAAAAAGGGAGAAAUUUGCUUCCUACGAAGAGUAUCCUGCUUUCUUUCUCUAACUAAGGUCUUCAAGGCCUGAAGAGAGACUGUAUGGCAUUGGAAAAGGAGAAUUUUGCUUCAUGCAGAAACUGUCCUGCUUUAUUGGUCACCCCAAGGUCUUCAAGGCCAAAGAGCAUAUAUGAGAUGAUAAAGGGUGGAUUGGCUUCAUGCAAAGAAUCUCCAGCCUUUAUGUCUCUCUACCAGGUCUUCAAGGCCUGGAAAGAGACUAUUUUGGGUGAAAAAAAAGGAGACAUUUGUCUCAUGGAGAUAUACUUCCUGUGUCUUACUCCACCCUCAGGCCUUCAAGGCCUAUGGAUUGAGAAGGAAUGGAGACUAUCUGAGGUGCAAAAGGAGAAAUUUGCUUCACGCAAAUCUCCUCCAGCUUGGAUUUCUCUAGCUCAGGUCUUCAAGGCCAGAAAAGAGAAUCUGCUCGAGGUGGAAAAGGAGAAAUUUGGCUUCAUGCAAACCAUCUCCAGCUUUGAUUUCUCUACCCAAGGCCUUCAAGGCCAGCAAAGAGAAUAUGUGGAGGUGGAAAGGGAGAAAUUUGCUUUAUGCAUACAAUCUCCAGGUUGGAUUUCUCUAAGGUCUUCAAGACCUCAAAAGAAAAUAUUUGAAGCUUAUAAAAGGAGAAAUUUGUGUCAUGAAAACUAUCCCUUGUGUUCUCUUGUUUUCCUAAAGUCUUCAAGACUUGAAAAGAGCAUAUCAGAGGUGGCAAAGGAGAAAGGUGCUUCGUGCAAAACCAUCUCCAGCUUGGAUUUCUCUAGCUAAGGUCUUCAAGGCCAGAAAAGAGAAUCUUCUUGAGGUGGAAAAGGAGAAAACUGGCUUCCUGCAAACCACCUCCAGCUUUGAUUUCUCUACCCAAGGCCUUCAAGGCCAGCAAAGAGAAUAUGUGGAGGUGGAAAGGGAGAAAUUUGCUUCAUGCAUACAAUCUCCAGGUUGGAUUUCUCUAAGGUCUUCAAGACCUCAAAAGAAAAUAUUUGAAGCUUGUAAAAGGAGAAAUUUGCCUCAUGAAAACUCUCCCGUGCGUUCUCAUGUUUAUCUAAAGUCUUCAAGUCUUGAAAAGAGCAUAUCAGCGGGGGCAAAGGAGAAAUGUGCUUCACGCAAAACCAUCUCCAGCUUGGAUUUCUCGAGCUAAGGCCUUCAAGGCCAGAAAAGAGAAUCUUCUUGAGGUGGAAAAGGAGAAAAUUUGCUUCCUGCAAACCAUCUCCAGCUUUGAUUUCUCUACCCAAGGCCUUCAAGGCCCAAAAAGACUAUUGGAGCGAGCUUUAAAAGGAGAAAUUUGCUUCAUGCCAGCCACAUCCCCACUUGCAUUUUUCUACCUUUAUGGUCUUCAAGACCUGAAAAGGACAACUUUUCUUCAUACAAUCUCCUGCUUUUGUUUCUCUACCUAAGGGCCCAAAAAAAGGUAAUAUAUGGGGUUAAAAAGGGAAAUGUUUGCCUCCUAUAAAAACUCACCUCCUCAUUUUUCUGCCUAAGGUCUUCAAGACCUGAAGAGAAAAUAUGUGAACUAGAAAAGGAGAAAUGUGCUUCAUGCAGAAACAUCUCCUGUGCAUUAGUUCACUUCAGGCCUUCAAGGCCUUUGAGAAAGGCAAUGAAUAGAGAAUAUCUGAGGUGGAAAAGGAGAAAUUUGCUUCAUGCAAAGAAAUCUGCUCUUCUUUCUCGACCUAAGGUCUUCAGGGCCUGACAAGAGAAUAUUUGAAGGGAGAUAGGAGAAGUCUGCUUCAUGCAGAAACAUCUCCUGUUCAUUCCUCCAAUUGAGGCCUUCAAGGCCUUGUCAUAGAGAAUAUUUGAGGUGGAAAAGGAGAAAUUGGCUUCAUGCAUUUAAAAAAAAGAAAAACCUCUGUCCUUUCUCUCCCCUAAGGUCUUCAGGGCCUGCGAAGAGAAUACUGGAGGUGAGAAUGGAGAAGUCUGCUUCAUGCAGACAUGUCUCCUGUUUAUUGCUCCACUUGAGGUCUUCAACGGCCUUCCAAGAGUCUCUUUCCAGUGGGGGUAAAAGGAGAAAUUUGCUUCAUGCAAACCCCCCCAAAAACCCUUUUCUUUCUCUACCUAAGGUCUUCAGGGCCUGAAAGAGCAUAGUUGAGGGGAGAAAGGAGAAGUUUGCUUCACGCAGAAAUAUCUCCUGUUUCAUUACUCCACUUGAGGCCUUUAAGGCCUUUUCAUGGAGAGUAUCUGAGAAGACAUUUGCUUCAUGCAAACAGUCUUCUGCUCUUGGAUCUCUACCUAAGGUCUUCAAGACCUGAAAAGAGAACGUUUGUGCUUGAACAAGAAGUUUUCUUGGUGCAGUGUCUUGCUACGGUUUCUCUAGCCUCGGUCUUCAGGGCCUUGUUCCAGAGGGAACAAAGGAGGAAUUUGCUUCAUGCAGAUACACUUCUUGUGCAUUACUCCACCUCAGGCCUUCAAGGCCGUUUCAAUGAGAAUGAGAGAGAGAGAGAGACUAUCUGAGGUACAAAAGGAGGAGCCUGCUUCAUACAAACCAUCCCCAGCUUUUCCUUCUCUGUCAAAGGUCUUCAGGGCCUCCAAACAGACUACUGGAGGGGAAAAAGGAGAAAUGCGCUUCAUGCAAAAAUCUCCUGCUGAGAUUUCUUUAUCUAAGCUGUACAAGGCCAGAAAUGAGAACAUUCGCAGUGAAAAUGGAGAAAGUUGGUUCCUACGUACAAUCUGCAGCUUUUAUUUCCCUGGGGUCUUCAGGGCCUCAGAGGGAAGCAGUUGAGGCUUAAAAAGCAAGCUUAUAACAUUUGCUUCAUGAAAACCACCUCCUGCUUUACAUUUGCCUGUCUGCGGUCUUUGGGACCUGAAAAGAGAAUAUUGGAGGUGAACAAGGAGAAAUUUGCUUCAUGCAAACCACCUCCUAUUUUUAUUUCUCUCCCUAAGGUCUUCAAGACCUGGAAAGAGAAUACUUGAGGCUUAAAGGAAGAAAUUGGCUUCAUGCAAACCACCUCCUGCCUUCAUUUCUCUACUUAAGGUCUUCACGACCCAAAAAGAGAACAUCUCUGAUGAAAAGGGACAUGUUUUCUUCAUGCAAACAAUCAUCCUGCUUCUGUUUUUCUACCUCAGGGCUGGAAAAGGCCAUCUGGGGUCUUAAAAAAAAAAAAAAGGAGUGAUUUGCUUCAUGCAGAAACAGCUCCUGGGCAUUAGUCCAUUUCAGGUCUUCAAGGCCUGGGAAUCAAGAAAUGAGGAGACAAUCAAUCUCUUGGAACAAGAGAGAGAGUUGCUUCGUGUCCACUAUCUCCUGCUUUAAUUUCAUCGACCUUCAGGUCUUCAGGGCCAGAAAAGAGGGUAUUUAUUGGGGUUGAAAAAGAGAACUUUUACUUCAUUUGGACAGAUCUCCUUUUCUUUAUGCCACCCCUCACUUUUUAAGGCGUUGUAAUGGAGGGUGACUAGACACUAUCCACUACAUGCACGAGAAGUCAUUUGCUUCCCGGAGGAAGGUCUCCCACUUAUCUCUCUCCCUCUGGUUUUCCCGGUCUGGAAAGAGAGAGUACACGUGAGCUGGGAGAGGAGAGAUUUUGCUUCCGGCAAAAAUGUUACUGUUUGUUACUCCACCUAAGGCCUUCAAGGCCCUUUAGUUGAGAAUUGAGGGAGAGUUUACACGGUGGAAAAGCAGAAACGUAAUUCAGGUGAACAGUCCCCUGCUUGAAUUGGUCUACCUAAGGUCUUCAAGACCUGUAAAGAGAAUCGAUGCCAUAGACGAAGGAGCAGUUUGCCGCCUACAAAAAGUCACGUGGUCAUUUUUCUACCUAGGGUCUUCAAGACCCGAAGAGAAAAUAGGUGAAUUGGCAAAGGAGCCAAGGGCUUUGUACGGACACAUCUCCUGUGCCUUAGUCCACCUCGGGCGUUCAAGGCCUGUUAUACCGAGAGUGGCUGGAGA
Ornithorhynchus anatinus (platypus) is the source of this 6777-nucleotide long non-coding RNA. RefSeq lists it as uncharacterized. NCBI's taxonomy places the organism in Eukaryota, Metazoa, Chordata, Mammalia, Monotremata, Ornithorhynchidae. The record is from RefSeq and is a predicted model, not a curated record. The transcript is spliced from 4 exons.